GACGGGGGGGGCAAGUGUUCUUCGGAAUGACUGGGCGUAAAGGGCACGUAGGCGGUGAAUCGGGUUGAAAGUGAAAGUCGCCAAAAAGUGGCGGAAUGCUCUCGAAACCAGUUCACUUGAGUGAGACAGAGGAGAGUGGAAUUUCGUGUGUAGGGGUGAAAUCCGUAAAUAUACGAAGGAACGCCAAAAGCGAAGGCAGCUCUCUGGGUCCCUACCGACGCUGGGGUACGAAAGCAUGGGGAGCGAACAGG
Molecule: ribosomal RNA, 251 nt
Filed under: uncultured bacterium
Lineage: Bacteria
Description: partial 16S ribosomal RNA
Rfam family: Bacterial small subunit ribosomal RNA
Source: RNAcentral